CCACCUCACAGUUAUCUCCUUCAAAACCUAUACACACAUUAACAUUGUUUCAGUUUGUUGCAGAGGUAAGGUUAGGGAUAUGAAGACUUGAAAGACUUGGGUGCGGCUUUGGAUAAAGGAGAGCUACCUGGCCAACAGAUUACCUGUAUAUCCCAGCAGGCAUUCACACAGGUCUCACCACGAAAACCGUCUGAACAAGUGCAUUCAAAUCCAUCCACUAUACGUCUACAGGUGCCAUUGUUGAGGCAGGGUUCAUCAACACAGUCCGUGAUGCGACGACUGCAAUCCUCUCCUCCAAAACCAGGCAUUGAGACAGAAGGAGAGAGAGAACUUACCCCAUUUGAACAUCAUCAUGGUCAGUAAAAAUGUCCCGGGGCAUUUCAGAUGC
Pimephales promelas (fathead minnow) is the source of this 388-nucleotide non-coding RNA. Lineage: Eukaryota; Metazoa; Chordata; Actinopteri; Cypriniformes; Leuciscidae. The record is from RefSeq and is a predicted model, not a curated record.